RNAcentral lists this long non-coding RNA (1421 nucleotides) under Homo sapiens (human). Its description in RNAcentral is "HSALNT0288314". Lineage: Eukaryota; Metazoa; Chordata; Mammalia; Primates; Hominidae. The record is from RNAcentral.
GUUUCAGGACCCAUGAACCAGAAAAUGUCUGAAGAUGUUAAGAUCCCCUGAUUACUUAGAGGAAAAACAACUAAAACAAGAAGGCUGUUUAUCACUGUUGUGGAAAUUUCCUUUUAUUCUUGACACAACUUGAUGUCUUAAAGUGUGUUUUCUUCUGUGUGAAGUACGUGAGCUUUCUCACUAAGCAUUCCCAACUCAUUGAAUGUGAUGUGGUUAUAAAGAUAAGUUAGGCAGCUAGACCCUGCAUUCUAAAAAAGGAUUGCUUGCAAUGUUGGUUUGGCCAUUGAUUUGCACAAAGAGACUGUGGCUCUCUGUUGUGAGAUCUUCAGCUACCUCAUGGUGCAAUAACACACACACGCUUAACCAUGUUGAUGGCACAAAGCGGUGAGCAGUAGGGAGGCAGAGUAUCUUGGUGGGGAGGGGAUGUUAUCAGCUUCUGGGAGAUGAAGAAUAUUGUUGAGGUUCCAAAGAUGCUAAAUUCUUCAGUGAUAUAAAAAAUCAUUGAGCAUUCAUUAUUGCCAGUGAAGUGGGGAUGCAUUAUUUCUGACACCCACAAGCAGGGUUUGAUCAUCCUUUCAGCUUUGAUAUAUCUGCACAUAAAAUUAUUAUUACCUGAAGAAAAUAAGGCUGCAUUUUGAAAUGUUAAGUGCAAAACGACUGAUGUUAAAACCAUCUGGGGCAAAUCUUGGGAUACUUUUUCCUAGGAAAUCAUAUGGUUUUGAUAUGUUUUGGCACAUAGGAGACAGAAAUGGCGAUUAUCAGGCAUUGAGCCUUUUUGUAGUGUUUUUAGUCUUUGAUACUCUGUAAGUACUAGUUCCUAAGGCACCAACAUUGCAUUCCUUGGUUUAUACUUUUUCUAUUCAUCAGAGUAGGAAAUCUUAAAUCCUUAGGCAUCCAAGAAGUGUACCAGCUUUUUCCUUCCCUUUUAGAAACACUUGUGGGUACGGAAAAAUGAUGGUUUGGGCAUAUUGGUAUAAUUUGAGUAAACUAAGGUUAAUGUUCAUAUAACAUUUAGACUUUGCCAUAAAUAUCAGAACCAAAGAUGAAGACAUUCAUGUACAGUCUGGAAUGUAUAUAUGGGGCCCAUAAAAAUUCCCAGUAUGCAUGUUUUAUGCUCACCAAUAUGAAUUGGGAUCUUCAAAGAGAGAAGGUUGAAAGUGGAAAGCACUUGAAAGAGCUCCCCGGUUUGUAAAAUAUCUUUAAUCAUUCACAUUAGGUAUCUCGGAGUUGCGGGUCUCAAAUGUAGAUUCAUGCAUCAUUUGUGCAAUUUGAAGAUAGUCCAUAUUUCCUAUUUCAGUAUUAGGUCCUGCAACACUUUUCAAUUCUUGUAGAAGGUUUUUUUCAGGAGUGGUGAUGUCUGAUGCUCAAUUACUGUUUUCUCUAUAAGAGUUUCAGCAUGAGCUUAAUUAAAUUCUUGUGAA